This 415-nucleotide ribosomal RNA is filed under the name uncultured microorganism. RNAcentral's name for it is "bacterial SSU rRNA". It matches the Rfam family "Bacterial small subunit ribosomal RNA", at positions 9 to 420 of the family's 1533-position model. The record is from RNAcentral.
GAGUUUGAUCGUGGCUCAGAUUGAACGCUGGCGGCAUGCCUUACACAUGCAAGUCGAACGGCAGCAUGAUCUAGCUUGCUAGAUUGAUGGCGAGUGGCGAACGGGUGAGUAAUACAUCGGAACGUGCCCUGUAGUGGGGGAUAACUAGUCGAAAGAUUAGCUAAUACCGCAUACGACCUGAGGGUGAAAGUGGGGGACCGCAAGGCCUCAUGCUAUAGGAGCGGCCGAUGUCUGAUUAGCUAGUUGGUGGGGUAAAGGCCCACCAAGGCGACGAUCAGUAGCUGGUCUGAGAGGACGAUCAGCCACACUGGGACUGAGACACGGCCCAGACUCCUACGGGAGGCAGCAGUGGGGAAUUUUGGACAAUGGGCGAAAGCCUGACCCAGCAAUGCCGCGUGUGUGAAGAAGGCCUCGG